Brassica oleracea var. oleracea is the source of this 1112-nucleotide long non-coding RNA. RefSeq lists it as uncharacterized. The transcript is spliced from 7 exons. NCBI's taxonomy places the organism in Eukaryota, Viridiplantae, Streptophyta, Magnoliopsida, Brassicales, Brassicaceae. The record is from RefSeq and is a predicted model, not a curated record.
UGGAAGAAAAAAGAAAACUUCUUGAUUAUCUUUUUCUUCUUCUUCGUUGUUUACUUCAAUCUAAUCUCUUCAUCCUCCAUAUUCUUCAGUUUGUGUUUUUUCUUCUUCUUAUUCAUUCCAAUCCAAGGGAACCCUGAUCUGUCUUUCCCAAAGUCCUCCAUUUUGCACUCUGUAAAUCAAUCAUCGUCGUCUCCACCAAACCCUAAACCUCGAUCUCUCCUUGAACGACGAUUAUGUCUCAUAAUCAUCUCCGCAAGACCUCGCAACCCCCUCAAUUUCACUCCUUCCUGCGUCUCCUCAGAUUCGAUAAAGGAGAGACGGAUGCAGCAGAGACAGCCAUACAUUGUUGAACAUAAUGAGAAAGCUUUUCUUAAGCAACCCAAGGUCUUCCUAAGCUAGAGGAAAUCUUGGAAGGAAACAGAUAUGUUAAAGGUGGAAACCGUUACUGGAAGAACAUUGUAGAUUUACCUCUGUUUGUUUCUCUCCGCUCUUCUAUAUUUCAUUCGUGUGCUUGCCCAGUUGUGUUUGUGUGACCAGGUCGUCAAUUAGGAACUGGUGUUCAGACUAACGAAGAGGUCGCAAUUAAGCUCGAAAGUGUGAAGACUGCGCAACACCAGGAUAUAUAGUGUUGUUCAGAAAGAGUUUGGUUUGUGCUGAUUGAGAAGCACUGAUAGAUGAAGUCACAGAGAAGAUUGAGAAAGAUCUGGUUCUUCUUGGAGCUACAACUGUUGAGGAUAAACUCUAAAAUGGGGAGACAAGGUGGAGACUGCUGUCAAUGUUGAUAUCUCUCUUUGUGUUCUUUGCCAUGAGCUUUGCUACUGUUGUGGAGCAGAGUACAGAGAAGGACAACAUAGUUGCACUUGUGACACAUUCAACUCAAUGCCAAGGGAAGAGUUGUUGAUGGCAGAGAGAUGACUGUUCAGUUUCAUGAAACCUUUCUAUGUAUAUGAGUAUUUCUGUCUUAGAUUUGCAAACACACUUAUGUUCCAGUCUUUGGUUUUUUUCAGUUUUAUCUGAGAUGACUCUUGAGAUUGAAGUUGUUUGAACUGUGUAUAGGCAGGGGCAAGAGAUGUAUAUUUUUCAGUUUCAUCUGAGAUGAUAAUUGGAUUUUU